This 505-nucleotide ribosomal RNA is filed under the name uncultured bacterium. RNAcentral's name for it is "bacterial SSU rRNA". It matches the Rfam family "Bacterial small subunit ribosomal RNA", at positions 8 to 524 of the family's 1533-position model. The record is from RNAcentral.
AGAGUUUGAUCAUGGCUCAGGACGAACGCUGGCGGCGCGCUUAACACAUGCAAGUCGUGCGGUACCGAUGGCAAGUCUUCAUGACGAGCCUUCGGUAUAGCGGCGGACGGGUGAGUAACACGUGAGUAGCUGUCCUAGGGAGGGGGAUAACGCCUGGAAACGGGUGCUAAAACCCCAUAAGCCUCGCAAGAGGUGAAAGUGUACUUGUUACAGCCUUAGGGUGUGCUCGCGGCCUAUCAGCUAGUUGGUGAGGUAAGGGCUCACCAAGGCUAAGACGGGUAGCCGGCCUGAGAGGGUGUACGGCCACACUGGAAUUGAGAUACGGUCCAGACUCCUACGGGAGGCAGCAGUGGGGAAUUUUGGGCAAUGGGCGAAAGCCUGACCCAGCGACGCCGCGUUGGGGAUGAAGUCCUUCGGGGCGUAAACCCAUGUUGUAGGGGAAGAAGAAAGUGACGGUACCCUACGAGAAAGCCCCGGCCAACUACGUGCCAGCAGCCGCGGUAAU